This 210-nucleotide long non-coding RNA is filed under the name Physcomitrium patens. Its description in RNAcentral is "long non-coding RNA (PPAT_LNC008252)". The record is from RNAcentral. Lineage: Eukaryota; Viridiplantae; Streptophyta; Bryopsida; Funariales; Funariaceae.
UUGAUUUCUAGUAGUUGUUAGACAACAAAUUUGGAAGAGUUCUUAUGCAUAUUUUCAAGUAUAAUAAUAGACAAUUGUGGUGUUAUGAUCAAUGUUUUGGUAUGAUUGUUUCUUUGUUGAAGAAUGUGAUGUAUAUAAAAACUUUCACAAACUGAUUAUUGAAUAGUUUAAAUAAAUAAAUAAUUAAUUAAAAUAAAAAAUUUAGAAAUA